CAGCUGAAUAGUGUGGGGAAAGGGGUUAAUGACUCAGCAGAAAUGAGCCAGGAGCAAAGGCUCCAGCUGCAUGACUCAUCAGCCAGCAGACACGGAAACUGCAUCCUAAAGGAUUCCUGAACUCCUAACGUUUGGCUGUGGCUCUCAGUAUCUGCCUCCAUCAGUUGCUGGAUGAUGCCUCUCUGAUGAUAACUGGGCCAGGUUCCAAUCUGGUCACAGGAGAUGGGCAGUUCAUGCUACUUAUCCACUAUUGUUUCCUCCCAGAUUGAAACAUUCCAUUCUUCAGGAAGGUAAACAAUUCAAGAUAACUUCAGGAAGUUCCUGAAGCUGACCAGAUUCACUGGGUCUCUCCCUGCUAGAGUAAGCAAUAAAAGCUUAGUGUCCACCUCAGAUGGAAGGAAACUGAGCUGCAAAGAAGACUCUGAGACCUGAUCAGCUGCCUGGAAGAAGAUGAGCUACCUGAAGAGGUUUAGAACAACAGAGGCACCUGGUCACUCUCCAACCUGUCUAGCUCGCUGUACUCUAGGUUCCCAGCUUUGUGUGAUGUUACCCAUGUCAGGUGGGCCUCAGCGAGUCAGCUGUCUCUGAGUCAUUUCUGCUCC
Molecule: long non-coding RNA, 602 nt
Organism: Arvicola amphibius (Eurasian water vole)
Lineage: Eukaryota; Metazoa; Chordata; Mammalia; Rodentia; Cricetidae
Exons: 3
Source: RefSeq, a predicted model, not a curated record